Molecule: long non-coding RNA, 1745 nt
Filed under: Triticum aestivum (bread wheat)
Lineage: Eukaryota; Viridiplantae; Streptophyta; Magnoliopsida; Poales; Poaceae
Description: long non-coding RNA (TAES_LNC016246)
Source: RNAcentral
CAUGUCAGACGGACUACUUGUUUCUAUUUCUCUCGGGAAAGAAACAGAAGUUUCGAGUACCCCUCCUAAAGAUCAAAGUCGCUACACACGGUGCAAAUCUCUCGGUCUCUCUCCCGACGCGAGAGGCGGUUUCCAGGCGGGCUGCCUCCGCUGGUCUCCAUCGCCUCCGGUAAGCCGUCGGGCUCUCGGAGGUGUGCGGGACAGUGUACGACCGUGAUGCGGUUGUAGAUAAUGUUGUUUUAGGAUUUUAUUCUGGCACUGGCGGGCAGGCAGGGGCGACGUCAAUGCUAUGGGAUAAGGUUCCCCCUGGCUCCUUUCCCGUCUCUGCGGUGCUCCCUCCGGCCGGUGGCACUGUGGGGUUAGGGAGGUUGGCCUCUCUCUUAUCCAGCGAGGUUUGGUCGGUGAUGGGGGUGCACAAUAGUAUAGAAGUUGGGAUUUGUGGAGAGGGAUUCCCAGAUCAGGUCGCCUCGGACGGCCGACAGCUGCACACUGUUGCGGGCGAAGUGGUUUGAGUUGCGGCUCCACUCCGUCGUAGGCUACCGCUGGUCAAGGGAUCACUUGGUCUACCCCAGGCCGAUGCACCGGAACCCUCCCUGGUUCCGUCUUUUGGGGCGGGACUUAUAUGCGGCUCACAAAGCCAUGGAUCGGUGAUGCUGCUCCUCAUGCCCGUUGUCUUGUGGAUGACGGCUAGCACCGGCGAGUGCAGAGAUCAGCGUGCCUAGGUGAAUAAGGAAGAUGAACUGGGCUGUAAGUUACUUUGUUUGCUCUGUCGGUGUUAUUCCCUUUAGUGUUAUCUCUGCCUCUCUAGUUCUCAAGCUCCAACGACAUGCCCUUUUUUGUGCUGGCCAUGGAGGCUAGCAGCGGCAGGACUGCCAUGACUAGGCCGCGCAAUAUUUCUAACAGUGUUGAGCUACUCGUUCCCGACAGCUCCGAUGCCAAGCUGCCAAUAGAAGCAGAGCAGGUAUGUGUGUGAUGGAUCUUUUAAUGAUAAGUUUGCUUCCUGUUCGAUUAGGUGCAUAUUUCGCAAGGUAAUGUUGUUCUAUCAUGUCUCUGAUUUUGAUUUUGAUUUUGAUUUUUUCUGCAGAUUUCAGGAUAUAGAAGGCAGCUUCAGGAAGGGGUCGCUGACGAGGUGAGGCCAUUGCGUCUAUUCUUGUGUUAGUUUGUUUCAAAGAAAUCACACUAAUUUCUCUCAGUAUACUCUAUAGAGAAAUAAGUACUGAAGCAGGCUUCACCGAAGACUACUGAUCUAGAAUUGUCUGUUGCUGAAAUAAGUCCAGGAGCUAUGGAGCAGGCUGAACAAUUUUCUGUUGAUUUUACUCAAUGGAUUGUCCCUGUAAUUUGACCAAACGUCAUGUCGCCGUGCCACUGAAGUUUUUGCACAGAAUUCUUGUCUUUUUGGGUGGUGCCAAGCUGUCUUUUUGUUGAACAAUGCCACAAUUGCAUAGUUGUAAGUUAUUUAGGAUUGUCUCUAUUGCAUACGACCUGGAGUUACAAGAGGUCCAGUACUAAUUUUGUGUAUGUAUGUACAUGUGCAGUCGCCCAUUUUCUAUACACAUGAUUCCAAAACAUCUUUUACUGUACAUUUUGUUUCUUUGCUCGGUACAAAAUGUAUUGCAAGUGUUGUUCAUUUUUUUCCCUUCUGUAAAUAUACUAGAGACCCUCUAAGGGCUCAGUUUUCUUCCCGUUGUCUGAAUAUACCCAGAUUUAUUUUGUGUGUGCGUAUUUAACAAAGCAUUUAGUUAACC